Molecule: RNase P RNA, 360 nt
Filed under: Tidjanibacter sp.
Lineage: Bacteria; Pseudomonadati; Bacteroidota; Bacteroidia; Bacteroidales; Rikenellaceae
Description: RNase P RNA component class A
Rfam family: Bacterial RNase P class A
About the family: Ribonuclease P (RNase P) is a ubiquitous endoribonuclease, found in archaea, bacteria and eukarya as well as chloroplasts and mitochondria. Its best characterised activity is the generation of mature 5'-ends of tRNAs by cleaving the 5'-leader elements of precursor-tRNAs.
Source: RNAcentral
GUGCGUGGGGGCUUCGUCGCUGCCGCAAGGGAGAGGAAAGUCCGAGCAACACAGAGCACCGCGCUUCCUAACGGGAAGAUACUCGCAAGGGUGUGGUUAAGGUAACAGAGAAUAACCGCCUUGCCUUUGGGCAGGGUAAGGGUGAAAAGGUGGGGUAAGAGCCCACCGCCGCUAUGGUGACAUAGUCGGGCAGUACUACCGGCGGGUUGCAAGGCCAAGUAUAUCGACAUCUAAGGGUUGCUCGUCCGUUGUCGAGGGGUAGGCCGCUAAUUUUUAGUAGGCGGGUGACCGUCUGCAUAGAUAAAUGACGAAGGGCCUCUUCGGAGGCUACAGAACUCGGCUUAUACUCCACACACAUUU